AGAGUUUGAUCCUGGCUCAGGAUGAACGCUAGCGACAGGCUUAACACAUGCAAGUCGAGGGGCAGCACGGGAGUAGCAAUACAACUGGUGGCGACCGGCGCACGGGUGAGUAACGCGUAUGCAACCUACCUAUCAGAGGGGAAUAACCCGGCGAAAGUCGGACUAAUACCGCAUAAAACAGGGGCACCGCAUGGUGAUAUUUGUUAAAGAAAUUCGCUGAUAGAUGGGCAUGCGUUCCAUUAGGUAGUUGGUGAGGUAACGGCUCACCAAGCCGACGAUGGAUAGGGGAACUGAGAGGUUGGUCCCCCACACUGGUACUGAGACACGGACCAGACUCCUACGGGAGGCAGCAGUGAGGAAUAUUGGUCAAUGGGCGGGAGCCUGAACCAGCCAAGUCGCGUGAAGGAAGAAAGAUCUAUGGUUCGUAACUUCUUUUGCARGGGAAUAAAGUGCAAGACGUGUCCUGUUUUGUAUGUACCCUGAGAAUAAGAUCGGCUAACUCCGUGCCAGCAGCGCGGUAAUACAGAGGAUCCGAGCGUUAUCCGGAUUUUAUUGGGUUAAAGGUGCGUAGUGGUUUKRWWAGUCAGCGGUGAAAGUUGSAGCUUWACUGUAAAAUGCCGUUGAAACUGUCGGACUUG
This 638-nucleotide ribosomal RNA is filed under the name uncultured Bacteroides sp. RNAcentral's name for it is "bacterial SSU rRNA". It matches the Rfam family "Bacterial small subunit ribosomal RNA", at positions 8 to 644 of the family's 1533-position model. The record is from RNAcentral. Lineage: Bacteria; Pseudomonadati; Bacteroidota; Bacteroidia; Bacteroidales; Bacteroidaceae.